This 464-nucleotide ribosomal RNA is filed under the name uncultured eukaryote. Its description in RNAcentral is "bacterial SSU rRNA". It matches the Rfam family "Eukaryotic small subunit ribosomal RNA", at positions 727 to 1123 of the family's 1831-position model. The record is from RNAcentral.
CCGCCCCGCGAGGGACGGCGCCGCCCCCGGGGGCUCGUGAUAUCUCAUCUCGCCGCCCGUCGCGAGGCGGACGGAGGGAUGGAUGAGGUUACCUGGAAAAAAUCGGGGCGAUCUAGGCGGGCGAACCUCGCCAACGAACGAUCGGACAUGGGAUAACGGAAGAGGGCGUCGGCUCGACUUCGUCGGUUCCUCGGGCCGAGGCACGUACGGUGAAUAGGGACGGUCGGGGCCGCCCGUACCGGGUCGUGAGAGGUGAAAUUCUAGGAUCGACCCGAGACGAACCGCCGCGAAAGCAUUCGGCAAGGACGCUUUCAUUAAUCAAGAACGAAAUCGGGGGAUCGAAGACGAUCAGAUACCGUCGUAGUCCCGACCGUAAACGAUGCCGACCGAGGGCCCGGAGGAGUUACGUACGACCCUCCGGGCCCUCCCGCGAGAAAUCAGGAGUAUUCGGGUUCCGGGGGGAG